RNAcentral lists this ribosomal RNA (526 nucleotides) under uncultured bacterium. Its description in RNAcentral is "bacterial SSU rRNA". It matches the Rfam family "Bacterial small subunit ribosomal RNA", at positions 772 to 1294 of the family's 1533-position model. The record is from RNAcentral.
ACCGAAUAGAUACCCUGGUAGUCCACGCCGUAAACGAUGGAAGCUAACCCGUUGGCAGGUUUACCUGUCGGUGGCGCAGCUAAACGCAUUAAGCUUCCCGCCUGGGGAGUACGGUCGCAAGAUUAAAACUCAAAGGAAUUGACGGGGCCCGGCACAAGCGGUGGAGCAUGUGGUUUAAUUCGAAAGCAACGCGCAGAACCUUACCAGCCCUUGACAUCCCGGUCGCGGUUACGAGAGAUCGUAUCCUUCAGUUCGGCUGGACCGGUGACAGGUGCUGCAUGGCUGUCGUCAGCUCGUGUCGUGAGAUGUUGGGUUAAGUCCCGCAACGAGCGCAACCCUCGCCCCUAGUUGCCAUCAUUCAGUUGGGCACUCUAGGGGGACUGCCGGUGAUAAGCCGAGAGGAAGGUAGGGAUGACGUCAAGUCCUCAUGGCCCUUACGGGCUGGGCUACACACGUGCUACAAUGGUGGUGACAGUGGGCAGCGAGACCGCGAGGUCGAGCUAAUCUCCAAAAGCCAUCUCAGUUC